ACCCCAACAACUAGCCCCCCUUCAAAAACCAACAACCCCCAUCAAUUAACCCCCAAAAAACAAC
RNAcentral lists this ribosomal RNA (64 nucleotides) under Asterropteryx senoui. RNAcentral's name for it is "partial 16S rRNA". Lineage: Eukaryota; Metazoa; Chordata; Actinopteri; Gobiiformes; Gobiidae. The record is from RNAcentral.